ACUGGGGACAGUGGCACGUGCCUGUAGUCCCAGCUACUCCAGAGGCUGAGGUUGGAGGAUCUCUUGAGCCCAGGAGUUCUGGGCUGUAGUGCGCUAUGCCAAUCAGGUGUCCACACUAAGUUCGGCAUCAGUAUGGUGACAUCCAAGGAGCCGGGGCAACCUCCAGGUUGCCUAAGGACUGGUGAACCGGCCCAGGUCGGAAACGGAGCAGGUCAAAACUCCCGUGCUGAUCAGUAGUGGGAUCAGGCCUGUGAAUAGCCACUGCACUCCAGCCUGGGCAACAUAGCAAGACCCCAUCUCU
RNAcentral lists this signal recognition particle RNA (301 nucleotides) under Cebus imitator (Panamanian white-faced capuchin). RNAcentral's name for it is "Metazoan signal recognition particle RNA (ENSCCAG00000013428.1)". It matches the Rfam family "Metazoan signal recognition particle RNA". From Rfam's summary of the family: The signal recognition particle (SRP) is a universally conserved ribonucleoprotein. It is involved in the co-translational targeting of proteins to membranes. The eukaryotic SRP consists of a 300-nucleotide 7S RNA and six proteins: SRPs 72, 68, 54, 19, 14, and 9. The record is from RNAcentral. Lineage: Eukaryota; Metazoa; Chordata; Mammalia; Primates; Cebidae.